Non-coding RNA from Lolium perenne, 1223 nucleotides. NCBI's taxonomy places the organism in Eukaryota, Viridiplantae, Streptophyta, Magnoliopsida, Poales, Poaceae. The record is from RefSeq and is a predicted model, not a curated record.
UACUUCGGAGGAGAAGUGGAGGUUGAUGUUGUCCAGGAGUUAUCCAUGGCCGCUGGAUCUGGUCGUCUGGUAGUGGUGAUCUUCUACCAUGUGGUUUCUGGCAGCGGUGGCCUCCUUCGAUCCCGUGGGUAUUGAUAUGUAUUUGGAUGCUUCAGCAAAAUCAUCUAUCGGUGGCUGGUUGUAUUUGUUCAACUCUUUUACGAGUGGCCUUUAGUACUUGCUUUGAUUCACCAAAGAAGAAUCAGUGGUACUUGGUUUUGCUUGAUGUAGGACCAGGCGGCGGUGCCGGUGAGCAAUGACGAGCCGGUGUUCCGGCCUGGAGAUGGGAAGGCUGGUCUGCAGCUUCACCGACCUCAGUCGUUGGGGCCCUUGGCUUGUGGUGUUAGCUAUCACGUUGAAGUUUGUGGUUCAGCCUUUGGCUGACAUGUCCUGGGCGACUCCUCGGUCGGAGAUGCAGACAUGCGUGCAUGCUUUUGAUGGCAAGGUACUAGUACUAGAUGGUCUGCAUGAUAUUCAUGGCAAGGACUGAUCCAGGUUAACUCGUGAUGCAAUAUUGGAGUAUAGAAGGGUCCAGAAGAUGGUAAUGUAUACCUUGAAGAUGACAAGGCUUUCCAGAUGGUCCGGAACGGCCUCAUGGUGCUAUUCUGCACGGCGUAGUGCCUUCCUGGAGCAGCUGGAAUGUUUGUUUUGCCCCUGCGGGCAGAGAAGACGGAGUUGGCCGGGGCCAUCAAGGUGGGGCUCGAGGAGUCUAAGGAAGGACCCUCAUCGAGGAUAUCGCUGAGAAGCUCAAGGUGGUUGUUGCCAAGGACAAUGUCAAGAAGCAGCUGAAGGCCAAGUUCAUCAUAGCCUCACCUGUCACCAUUAUGGUGCUAAUAGGACCAGUUAAUUUUGGGUCAUUUCUCCAGAUCCAGAAGAUGUUCUCUGUGUAACUGUAUCUGGCUGGUUGCAAUAUUCUUCUACGUCCCUUCUACUCUUCUCCAUGAUUCUUGUUGAGCGAGCAUGACUGCGCAUUUUCUCACUAGGCUGAUAGCUUGUGUUUUCUUGUUUACUCUUAGGAUCGAAAAAGAGAGGUCAUCUAUAUAUCCAAAUGAAUUUUCUGUUUGCAUCUUAAUUGGAACCUAUGUUCUUGUUCUUGCUCUUGUGAUGGCCAGUAGCUGACCUUGAAUUAACCCUGUGAUAAUUUUUGUAAUAACCAAUGGAAUUGUAAAUUGCGGUGCUCCAAA